GUCUCUGUGGCACAAUUGGCUAACGCAUUAGACUGUUAAUCUAAAGGUUGGUGGUUGGAGCCCACCCAGGGACG
Molecule: non-coding RNA, 74 nt
Organism: Oncorhynchus gorbuscha (pink salmon)
Lineage: Eukaryota; Metazoa; Chordata; Actinopteri; Salmoniformes; Salmonidae
Source: the annotation of a RefSeq genome assembly